RNAcentral lists this ribosomal RNA (254 nucleotides) under uncultured bacterium. RNAcentral's name for it is "partial 16S ribosomal RNA". It matches the Rfam family "Bacterial small subunit ribosomal RNA", at positions 524 to 776 of the family's 1533-position model. The record is from RNAcentral.
CACGUAGGGUGCGAGCGUUGUCCGGAUUUAUUGGGCGUAAAGAGCUCGUAGGCGGUUUGGUAAGUCGGAUGUGAAAUCUCCAGGCUCAACUUGGAGGGGUCAUUCGGUACUGCCAUGACUAGAGUUCGGUAGGGGAGUGUGGAAUACCUGGUGGAGCGGUGAAAUGCGCAGAUAUCAGGUGGAACACCCGUAGCGAAGGCGGCACUCUGGGCCGGAACUGACGCUGAGGCGCGAAAGCUAGGGGAGCAAACAGG